AAGCUCGUAGUUGAAUUUCGGGGUUCUACCGUUGGUCGGGCUAACCAGUCUGUACUAGCGUGUAGAAUUCCUACCUUCUGGGGAACCAUCAUGUUAUUAAUUUAGCGUGGUGGGAAGCCAGGACCUUUACCUUGAAAAAAUUAGAGUGUUCAAAGCAGGCCUACGUCUGAAUACAUUAGCAUGGAAUAAUAAAAUAGGACGGUGGUCCUGUUUUGUUGGUUUCUGAAUCACCGUAAUGAUUAAUAGGGAUAGUUGGG
RNAcentral lists this ribosomal RNA (257 nucleotides) under uncultured Scutellospora. RNAcentral's name for it is "partial 18S ribosomal RNA". It matches the Rfam family "Eukaryotic small subunit ribosomal RNA", at positions 624 to 886 of the family's 1831-position model. Lineage: Eukaryota; Fungi; Glomeromycota; Glomeromycetes; Diversisporales; Gigasporaceae. The record is from RNAcentral.